AUUCCAAAAAUUGCUGAAAAAAACAUGACUCCACCAAAUAUGCUUGCAGAGUAAUUGAUAUUUCUUGAUAUCCAACUGUAAUGUAUUGCUCAUUAAUUCUACUCACACAGCUGGCACAAGGACUGUAGAAUCUGAUGGUUGAGAGGUGGUUUCAUAAGUAUUCCUAUUAGUUGUGUCUACUCUUUCCAUGGCUGGUGUAAGCCCUUGGUAUCUGAUAGUAAAGGAACUGUGCAUGGAUACUUAUCAUAAGUGCCCUUUUUACACAGUUCGCCCUGACCUGGUUGGGGAGCUGAGCACAUGUGGUACAGUCUAAAUGUGCCCCAACCUUACUACACAUAUUAGCCAUUCAAUGGUUUGAAUACCUUUCAGGCUUCUUGCCUCUUCCUAUCCUUCACUCAAGUGAAGAGUAUACCUGCCAUAGGGUGUUGCACCCCAUGGGCUUCUUUUUAGCACUCUCGAAUAGAGGAUCAUCUAGGUAAUUUCUGUACCAGUACCUCCACCAUCUCAGUGUGGGGUUCUAGCAGAGUUCAUAUGAUCCUUGAAAAUACUUGAAUAUCCUUGUACUUUGAAAUCACUUUUCAAGUCCUUGAAUGUACUUGAUUUUUUAGAAUUAUUGAUUGUAUCUUUGAAUAUACUUGAAUUUUGUGAAACUGAGAAUCAAACAAAAACUAAAUGUAUUUUUGUGCAGGUUCAUUGUGUUUUAUUUUUAUUUUGUGUGUGUUUUUUAUUUUAAAAAAAAGAACAUUAGAAGUUUUAGUACUCAGUGAGUGGGUGUGUCAUUUAGUAACUAAUGUGAGUGGUUGCCUUUGUUUUACAACUAAUACAGUGAAGCUUGCUUAAUUUGAACUGCUUGGGACCAGAGAAAACGUUUGAAUUAACCAAAUGUUUGAGAAAAUAUCAAGGAAGAUAGCUCCAUGUGUAGUCAGUUUUUAAAAAUCAAGGAAAGUAUGUACAUAUUAAGUUAUUUUUUACUCCUGGUUAUGUUCCUUGUCUACAAAAAUAACAUCCAAUCUCACAAGUCAUGUAUGUUAAGCAACAUAUGUACUAGAUAAAUAUGUAUUAAAACUUAAUGUGACAAGUGUACUUCAUAUAUUAACAUAGCAGAAAGGCCACAAAGUUAAGAAAAUGUGGAUUUUGGUAUUCCAUAUUUAGUGACAAUAGUUGUUUUGCUAUCUUUGCUUUUAUCUACUUCUUCCAACUUCCUUAACUUUGUUUUGAUAUUAAAAGUUUUGUACUGUCUUUUUGCCAUCGUUCUAUCAACUUCUAAAUCUGAGUUUGAACUCAAAUGAAUUUUAAUAAAGGUAGUAAACAACAAAGUUGAAGGCCAAUCAGAAAAAUAUAACCACUGUGCCAGUUGAAACUAACAUACUUUUAUCUGUACACAUGCCAAAUAGGUAUCAUUGAGUUGUGUGCAGAUAUUGCUUCCCACAAUAUGUCUAAGAAUUUGGUCCAAAAAACUCUUGGUAAAAGUUACACUAAUAUUUCAACUUAGAUUUGUAGGUAUGGUUAGAGGUACUUGUUCAAUUUAACAGAAGUUUGUGUUUUUUAGUGUGAAUUAGGCAUGUUUUUAAAACAUGCAAUAAAGCAGGAAAAAGUUAGAACUUUUCACUUGGUUCAAAUUAACCAGAAUUUCAAAUAAUCCUUACUUGUCUUAAGUGAACUCCACUGUACUUCCUUUUUAUGAAAGGUAACUACAUUGUUUCUUUUUGUGAAAAUUCAGUGCAGUGCAGUCAUUCAAAGUGAAAUCUACUUCAGGAAUCAUGAGCUGCCUCCACAAACGUGGGAAUUGCCAUUUUAACAAUGCAUGACUUGAUAGAAAAAAUAUGUGACUGGCUUAGAAAAGACAAUUCUCUUCACAAAGCUUAUUGCUUUCUAUGCAGGAAGCACACUGAUAUUUCUACUAUGGGCAAAUCAGCAUUAAACAGCAAAGCAAAAGGGGGAAAAACAUUUCAAACUUAUCAAGUCAAGUCAGCCUGCUAUUACAUUAGGUGCCUUUUUAACUCGGAAGACUUUUGCUACCAGUAAUCUUGAUCUAGCAACUAACUCUGAACUUGACCAAUUUGAACAGUUUCUCUGCAAGUGCAACAGAUGUGCUUAAAGCAGAAAUUUUAUGAACCCUAAAAAUAAUUACAAACCACUACAGUUUUCAUUCAUGUGAAAAUAUUUCUGAUCUUUUCAAGCUAAUGUUUCCAAACAUUUCAAUUUCUAAGCAGUAUAGCUGUGCAGAAGGCAAAGCAGUAUACCUUGGUACUUUUGGUAUAGCUCCACAUUUGAACAGAAAAUCAAAGUAAAUUCAUUUAUGCUAUUGUUUUAUAAAACCCAAAAGGAAGAUCAGCAGGAAAAAAUGGCUAGACAUCUACAUUCACUUUUUCUGUGAUGAUGAGGUUAAAACAUUUUAUUAUACAUAUAAAUUUAUUGAACAAGCUAAUGCAGAUGGUAGAUACAAAGAGAUAUCCAGUUCUAUCACAAUCUUUGACUUCAGACAUCUUCUGCAACUUUCAAUGGUUGGGCCUAAUGUGAACGUAAUAUUUUUAACAGAUUUUUCAAAGGAAAUUGAAUAGCAGACCAAUUGCAAUAUUCUAAACAUUGGGACCUGUGGACUGCAUAAACUGCACAAUGCCUUUCAAGCAGGAUGUGUUGCAGCUGAUUUGGAUGUGGAAAACACAAUUUCCAGUAUCUACAUUCUGUUGCAUGAUGCUCCUGCAAGACGACGGGAUUUUAAAGACGUAGCUGGCUGUUUUAUUUUCUUCCAAAGUUCUGCAAAUACAAAUUGACACUCGGUGAUGAAGGCAUGCAAACUUCCUGAUGUGUCAAGCGAUCGUUUAGCAUGGAAGGAGAGGUAUCUGCUAAAUGUCCCUACAUGGAAGACGAAGAUUUUAUCAUAAGAAAAUCUGCGAAUAGUAGAGUUAAAAGUAUGACGCAACAUCUACUACAUACAAUAUACCAUUUAAUCAUAAAACACAUGGACUCAUAAACGUUAUAGACACGCUUAAUAAGAACAUUCAAAACAUACUGGACGAUACAAUGAAACAACUAGACAAUAGAGAUAAAGUAAGAGUAUGUGUUUAUUCAGAUCAUCUGGAUAAACCAAUAAGUACAUGCUUACAGAAUAAGGAUCUUUUCUCACCUGAAAUCAUUUUAAUUACCAUCGAAAAAGUAAAUCAAAGUAAAAAAGACAUACCAUUAGACGAUUAAUUCAAAAUGUAAGUUAUUACAUUGGAAUAGUAAUUGGCUAUACUAAUAGCCUUAGCAUCGCUCAGAAAAGAUCCAAAAUAUAAUAGUAUUAGAGAUCAACGACAACCACUACUUUACACGUAUGGCUAAAGGCUUACAUACUUCGUUUAAUAUUCUAGAACGACCAUGCGGUAUAGAAGACAUUUCUAAAUUUGAACGUCAUCUAAAUGUUCAAAUACAUGUAGUAUCUUCAGAAAAUUUCAACCAAUAUAUAAAGGUUCUUCACGCCCAAACAAAAUUUACCUAUGGUACCAUGAUCACCAUUUCGACGUUAUAACAUCAAUGAAAGGUUUCCUCGGGGUAAAUUAUUACUGUUAAAGAUUGUAAUAAGCCAUUUGAGCAUUUAAAUGAAUGUCAUUGUUCUGAAUAUUGUAAUGUUUGUUAUAGUAAUGAAUUCUCGAAAGUUCAACACAGUUUUUUUCUGGUUGUAACAGAUUUUGCAAAUCUGCAGAAUGUUACAACAGACAUAAAUCAAAUAAUGGUAAACAAAUGAUAUCUUCAUGUGAUAAUUUUUACCAGUGUAAAAAUUAUUUUGUCAUUAUUGACAAAAUAAACGUAAUCCUGAAUUUCAUCGAUGUGGCGAAAUCAUAUGUGUAGGAUCUAAAUCGUAUGUCUUAAAUAACCAUUUAUAUUUUCUCCAGGAUAAAAAAAGUCCAAGAUUCGACGAAUAAAUACUUAUUUUUUUAUUUUGAGACUGAUUAGGAAACUAGAAUUCACGAGGUUAACUUCUGUGUGGAAACAGUUUUUAAAGGUUAUAAUUCAUUUAGCGAAAUUUGUAAAUUCUUAUUUUCGAAAGAACAUAAGAAUUAUACAGCUAUAGCACAUAAUAUGAUAGGUUUUGAUGAGCACUUUAUCUUGAAUUAUCUUAUUCAUCAAUGUAUAAAACCAGACAUUAUCUUAAAUGGUGGAAAAAGUAUGGUUGUGACCAUCAAAAGCCUCACAAUUAGAAUAAUUGAUUAGUUACAAUUUCAUACUCAUAUUAUUAUUAUUGUUUCCAAGAACUUUUAGAUUAGGAGAACUACAGAAAUGAUAUUUCCCUUAUCUUUUCAAUAUAAAGUCAAAACAGGAAUAUCGAGGACCUAUACUGGAUUAAAUUUUUUAUUCUUCCGACACCAUGUCAGUACCCAUAAGACAAAAGUUUCUGGAUUGGCAUUGUCAGCGACGAGAGGAAGAAUACAUCUUUGACUUUCAAGAAGAGAUGUACGGAUACUGCCGAUCAGACAUAGAUAUACUUCGUUGGGGCUAUCUUCAAUUUGGAGAAGAGUUUCUUGCAACCUGUGAUGCAGAUCCCUUCAGAUACACGACCAUUGCUUCUGUAUGCAUGGCUGUAUACAGUAGCAAAUUUAUACCACCACGAUUGAUAGCUAUCAUACCUAAUCACGGAUAUUUUAUGAGCAACAAUUA
Molecule: long non-coding RNA, 4638 nt
Filed under: Limulus polyphemus (Atlantic horseshoe crab)
Lineage: Eukaryota; Metazoa; Arthropoda; Merostomata; Xiphosura; Limulidae
Description: uncharacterized LOC111087945, transcript variant X2
Source: RNAcentral